This 301-nucleotide ribosomal RNA is filed under the name uncultured bacterium. RNAcentral's name for it is "partial 16S ribosomal RNA". It matches the Rfam family "Bacterial small subunit ribosomal RNA", at positions 509 to 808 of the family's 1533-position model. The record is from RNAcentral.
CAGCCGCCACGGGAAUACAGAGGGUGCGGGCGUUAAUCGGAUUUACUGGGCGUAAAGAGCUCGUAGGCGGUUUGUCGCGUCUGCCGUGAAAGUCCGGGGCUCAACCCCGGAUCUGCGGUGGGUACGGGCAGACUAGAGUGAUGUAGGGGAGACUGGAAUUCCUGGUGUAGCGGUGAAAUGCGCAGAUAUCAGGAGGAACACCGAUGGCGAAGGCAGGUCUCUGGGCAUUAACUGACGCUGAGGAGCGAAAGCAUGGGGAGCGAACAGGAUUAGAUACCCCGUAGUCCCUGUCUCUUAUACA